ACACUCCUACGGGAGGCAGCAGUGGGGAAUUUUGGACAAUGGGCGAAAGCCUGAUCCAGCAAUGCCGCGUGAGUGAAGAAGGCCUUCGGUUGUAAAGCUCUUUUGUCAGGGAAGAAACGGUGAAAGCUAAUAUCUUUUGCUAAUGACGGUACCUGAAGAAUAAGCACCGGCUAACUACGUGCCAGCAGCCGCGGUAAUACGUAGGGUGCAAGCGUUAAUCGGAAUUACUGGGCGUAAAGCGUGCGCAGGCGGUUUUGUAAGUCUGAUGUGAAAUCCCCGGGCUCAACCUGGGAAUUGCAUUGGAGACUGCAAGGCUAGAAUCUGGCAGAGGGGGGUAGAAUUCCACGUGUAGCAGUGAAAUGCGUAGAUAUGUGGAGGAACACCGAUGGCGAAGGCAGCCCCCUGGGUCAAGAUUGACGCUCAUGCACGAAAGCGUGGGGAGCAAACAGGAUUAGAUACCCGAGUAGUCCCAUGA
RNAcentral lists this ribosomal RNA (475 nucleotides) under uncultured organism. Its description in RNAcentral is "partial 16S ribosomal RNA". It matches the Rfam family "Bacterial small subunit ribosomal RNA", at positions 333 to 800 of the family's 1533-position model. The record is from RNAcentral.